This 440-nucleotide ribosomal RNA is filed under the name uncultured bacterium. Its description in RNAcentral is "partial 16S ribosomal RNA". It matches the Rfam family "Bacterial small subunit ribosomal RNA", at positions 338 to 795 of the family's 1533-position model. The record is from RNAcentral.
CCUACGGGAGGCAGCAGUGGGGAAUAUUGCACAAUGGGGGAAACCCUGAUGCAGCGACGCCGCGUGAGGGAAGAAGUAUUUCGGUACGUAAAGCUCUAUCAGCAGGGAAGAAAAUGACGGUACCUGACUAAGAAGCCCCGGCUAACUACGUUCCAGCAGCCGCGGUAAUACGUAGGGGGCAAGCGUUAUCCGGAUUUACUGGGUGUAAAGGGAGCGUAGACGGCAGGGCAAGUCUGGAGUGAAAUCCCAUGGCUUAACCGUGGAACUGCUUUUGAAACUGUGCAGCUAGAGUGCAGGAGAGGUAAGCGGAAUUCGUAGUGUAGCGGUGAAAUGCGUAGAUAUUAGGAGGAACACCAGUGGCGAAGGCGGCUUACUGGACUGUAACUGACGUUGAGGCUCGAAAGCGUGGGGAGCAAACAGGAUUAGAUACCCCAGUAGUC